ACUUUAACUAGACAAAUCAAAUAAUCAUAAAAUAUUAAAAAUAAGCCUAAAAGAUGUAUCAAUUCAAAAUAUACAAUACUAAACAAAUAAGAUCUAUAUGAAUUCAGCCUUUUCAAAAUUUAUUUUUAAAUUUAUUUUUUAUUUAUAAAUCAAUUUUUUUCAAAUAUUCAGUUCAUCUCGACAAUCAUGAAACUAAUCAAAGUACCAAUGCAUAACUUUCACUGACAAGAUAUCGAUAUAUCAGUGCAUAACCCCCAUAAAUAGGAUAUCAACGUACAAGCAUAUAAUCCAUACUAGUAGGGUAUUGAUAUACUAGCACAUAACUUUCAUUAACAGGAUAUCGAUAUGUUAGAUGUAUGCCCCAAAAAUCAAUCUUGACUGACACAUAUCUUAUUCUAGAAUAUAUUUUGUACUUGUUGGAUAGUUUUUAUUGUCAAUCAUGUUGUAUAUGUUCAUGAUUUAUCCUAAAAAUUAAUAAAGAUAAUUUUAUGUAUUCUCA
This 499-nucleotide long non-coding RNA is filed under the name Elaeis guineensis (African oil palm). RNAcentral's name for it is "long non-coding RNA (EGUI_LNC049154)". The record is from RNAcentral. Lineage: Eukaryota; Viridiplantae; Streptophyta; Magnoliopsida; Arecales; Arecaceae.